Molecule: ribosomal RNA, 550 nt
Filed under: Nuculaspis sp. D0979A
Lineage: Eukaryota; Metazoa; Arthropoda; Insecta; Hemiptera; Diaspididae
Also listed under: 1 other name
Description: eukaryotic LSU rRNA
Source: RNAcentral
AUCUGGGCGGCGGAAUUCAGGAUGGCCGGCGUGCUCUCGCGGCGCGUCGGUCGUUUGAAAUUUCCGUCGCCAACGAACCGCAGACGUCGCGACCUGUUCGCGGUCGGUCCCUGCUCGGAGGAGCCACGUUCGAGCUCGUUGUGUGCGCGUUUUUCGGCGCGUCACACGGCGAAGGCGUGGAUCUCUGGCUGGCCGUCGGACAGUAUGCUCAGCGGUGUCCGGUGUCGUCGUCUCGUACGCGCGGCAUCGGUACCGGUCAGCGACGAAUUCUUCGGGCCUCUUUCCGACCCGUCUUGAAACACGGACCAAGGAGUCUAACAUGCGCGCGAGUCGCGGGGUAUCGAGCGUACUUCGGUGCGUUCGUUAUGUUGCGAAACCCGUACAUGUCGAAGGCGUAAUGAAAGUAAAUGGGGAAGAUGGUGUUUCCGAGUACACGUUCCGCGAUCGUCGGUAUCGCGGCCGGACACCCGCAUUCCCGGGGCGUCUCAACGGCCCGUCGCUGAUGCGGACCGUCGUCUUUCGGGGCGGCUGUCGGUCGGCGACGAACCGA